Ribosomal RNA from Pteropus vampyrus (large flying fox), 119 nucleotides. The record is from Ensembl. NCBI's taxonomy places the organism in Eukaryota, Metazoa, Chordata, Mammalia, Chiroptera, Pteropodidae.
GUCUACAGCCAUGCCACCCUGAAUGUGCCCGAUCUCGUCUGAUCUCGGAAGCUAAGCAGGGUCAGGCCUGGAUGGUACUUGGAUGAGAGAUCACGUAAGAAGACGAGGUGCUGUAAGUG